GAUGAACGCUGGCGGCGUGCCUAAUACAUGCAAGUCGAGCGAACGGACGAGAAGCUUGCUUCUCUGAUGUUAGCGGCGGACGGGUGAUUAACACGUGGAUAACCUACCUAUAAGACUGGGAUAACUUCGGGAAACCGGAGCUAAUACCGGAUAAUAUUUUGAACCGCAUGGUUCAAAAGUGAAAGACGGUCUUGCUGUCACUUAUAGAUGGAUCCGCGCUGCAUUAGCUAGUUGGUAAGGUAACGGCUUACCAAGGCAACGAUGCAUAGCCGACCUGAGAGGGUGAUCGGCCACACUGGAACUGAGACACGGUCCAGACUCCUACGGGAGGCAGCAGUAGGGAAUCUUCCGCCAUGGGCGAAAGCCUGACGGAGCAACGCCGCGUGAGUGAUGAAGGUCUUCGGAUCGUAAAACUCUGUUAUUAGGGAAGAACAUAUGUGUAAGUAACUGUGCACAUCUUGACGGUACCUAAUCAGAAAGCCACGGCUAACUACGUG
This 497-nucleotide ribosomal RNA is filed under the name uncultured bacterium. RNAcentral describes it as "partial 16S ribosomal RNA". It matches the Rfam family "Bacterial small subunit ribosomal RNA", at positions 28 to 507 of the family's 1533-position model. The record is from RNAcentral.